Long non-coding RNA from Orcinus orca (killer whale), 5111 nucleotides. RefSeq lists it as uncharacterized. The record is from RefSeq and is a predicted model, not a curated record. NCBI's taxonomy places the organism in Eukaryota, Metazoa, Chordata, Mammalia, Artiodactyla, Delphinidae. The transcript is spliced from 2 exons.
CGUGUAGUCUCCCGUGUACCUGGAGCUUUGCCACCGAGAGGCAAUAUAAUCCAACAAUCCGGGAACUGUACUGUUAAGUCCAUCUUGGACUGCUCCGUCAGCCAGCUUCUAGUCUCCUGAGAUCACGAGAAGCUCAGCAGGGCGCUGCCAGAACAGGAAGUGACAAAGGCAGCUGAUUUCAUCAGUGAUAUGAAACCCACGGUUCCCGUUGAGAAGAAGACUCUUCCUCUUUGGAAAAAUAAUUUGAGAAGAACCUGGGGGAAAAGUUCACUUCCACUUCUCCUCAGUCACCAUCACCAGGGACCUCCAUGAAGGCCAAAACCAAGGCUCAAGAGAAAAGGGCUGAAAUACUCUGAAAAUAAAAGGAGAAGUCAUUGGACCUCCUCAGGAAAUCCACUGGAAAGCAGAGAGGAGGAGAGAGAGAAUUGUGUGCCAUUGAGAAGGAGGAAUUGCAUUUUGAGCUGUGACCUCUCACCUAGACAUCCUUCAUCAAUUCCUCAGGGCCCUCUUCUGUUAAGAGUCUUACACAUGCUUAUUUGAGUGAGUUUUUGUGGUGGAAACUAAAGCAACUAUGUUUCACAUUUGGCAUGGGAUGACCUAGACAACCCAGGAGGAAGCGGAACCCAGGAGGAAGCGGAAAGCCAGAGAGGCAGAGGAGACUCAGAGAACAAUGUAAGACUGGUCUGCCCUAGGGGAAUGUAGCAGAAAUCUUGUUUCACUUUCCACAGGCCCAGUUAUUAGAGAGUUGAAGGUAAUUUUACCUACAUCUCAAGGGGUAGGUCAGCCCCCAAUUGACAUACCAGUUAGUUAUAUAAGAACUAGAAAAAGCCACCAAGUUCAUAUCAAGGAAAAAAUAUUUCAACCAGAUGACUGAGGGCUCUGAACUCCUGAGAAGAAACUGUUACUCAACUGCUGCAGAGACAUCUUCCAGGAAGAGGGGAUGGUCCAGGUGUGUCCAGAGCUCACACCUGGACUGGGAGUUAUAUUCCAAAAACUGAGCAUGUUUUUCAGAUGGAAUAACUCUGAGGGCUCCUAGGCUGGUGUUCAUCUAUGCAGAAAUCAGAAAAGCCAGGCCUGACUUAUCAUAGGGGCUAAAUAAAUAAAUAAAUAGAAGUCCUAUGGCUGUUUUUAGCCUGAUUAUUAGCCCCACUAAUACCCAGGAAAUAAUGUGAAGUUCUGCCACUAAUAUAAAAUUAUUGCCAUUAUUCCAUUUACUCAAGAACUUAAUGGAUUCUGUUCAUCAGUGCAUGUCUUUGACAUUUCAAGUUUGUAUUUUUUUCUCUUAAGCAUUUCCAUUUCUCUUCACAAUUGCAAAGUUAGGUUGAAUUAUUAUUUUUUCCUCCCUUUCUAUGACUGAUUCUCCUUUUCCUUUAUAAAUUAUCUAUUUGACUCAUUUACAGACCUAGCAUAAACUCAACCUCAUACUAUCUGUCCUGAGUAAUUAGCUGUUCUUUUUAUGGAUCAAAGGGAAGGGUUUGUCAUCAGACUCCUCAAUAAGUCAUCUCUCACAAAGAAUAAAUAAUGCUAUUACUUUAAGUAAAAUCAUUCUUUAACUUACUAGAAAAAAAGCCGAAGAGAAAUGUAUUAGCCAUUUGUCUUGUAAUCCAGUUUGAUUCUCCUCUCUUUGUCUCUACCAGAAGAGGAUCAUAAGGCAGCAUAAAUGUCCACAUUGGGACACAGUGCUACAUCUGUUCUCCCAUCACUCAAAGACAAGGACCACAUGGCUGGCUCAGGAAGGAAAGUGGUACUGAAAUACCAGGCACACUCACUUGCCAAAUUCUGGAAUAUUAGGAUCUUCGCUUAAUCUGUUCCAAAUUAUAACCUAGUAGGGAAAAGUUUGUAUUUUUUAUCUGUAGCCAUGGGAAUAUUUGGCAAGAGGAAAACUUGUAUCUCAGCUCCCUCUGCUGGCGUUUCAGAAAACAAUUUGUCCCCUUAUUACCAGGUCCUGUGCUUUAUACACACAGAGGGCCAUCUUCUUGCCAAAUGUGAGCUGAUAGGGAAGUUAGGUCCACAUCAAUAGGGAAAAUCUUCUCAAGGAGCCCGGUGCUCCAAAAGAUGAAAAUAGGAGAGGGGCCUUCCCAACGGUGAGUCCAAACUAAAAUGGAGAUUCUCCAGCCCCCUCUAUAAAGUAAGCCUGAGAUGAAUUCAGACAUGCUUAUUCUGAAAAAGAAUCCCAGGUGAUUCUGCUGGACCUCCUCAUUAGGAAUUAUCUAAUGACUUUCCCUCUCUUUGAGAGUCUGCCUGCCGAUGCAAGGGACACGGGUUUGUGCCCCGGUCCGGGAAGAUCCCACAUGCCGCGGAGCGGCUGGGCCCGUGAGCCAUGGCCGCUGAGCCUGCGUGUCCGGAGCCUGUGCUCCACAACGGGAGAGGCUACAACAGUGAGAGGCCCAUGUACCGCAAAAAAAAAAAAAAAAAAAAAAAAAAAAACAAUGGGUCAAUGAAGAAAACAAGGAGGAAAUCAGAAAAUAUCUCAAGACAAAUGAAAAUAAAAACACAACUUUCCAAAACCUAUGGGGCAAAGCAAAAGCAGUUCUAAGAGGGAGUUUUAUAGAGAUAUAGGUCUAUCUCAAGAAACAAGAAAAAUCUCAAAUAAACAACCUAAAGAAAUUAGAAAAAGAAGAACAAAGCCCAAAGUCAGCAAAAGGGAAGAAUAAAGAUCAGAGAGGAGGAACUUCCCUGGUGGUCCAGUCGUUAAGACUGUGCGCUCUCAGUGCAGGAGGCCUGUGUUCAAUCCCUGGUCAGGGAACUAGAUCCUGCAUGCCGCAACUAAAAGGUCCCGUGUGCUGCAACUAAGACCCAGUGCAGCCAAAUAAAUAAAUAUUUUUUAAAAAAACAGAGAGGAAAUAGAGACCAAAAGUAAUAUUAAUAAUACAAAACCCACACAAAACCAAAAACAAAACAAUAGAAAAGACCAAUGAAACCAAGAGCUGUUAUGUUGAAAAGAUAGACAAAGUUGAUGACCCUUUAGCCAGGCUCAUCAAGAAGAAAACAGAGAUGAGCCAAAUAAGUCAAAUAAGAAAUCAAAGAGGAGAAACAACAACUGAUAUCAUAGAAAUACAAAUCAUCAUAAGAGAAUACUAUGAAGAGUUAUAUGCCAACAAAUUGAACAAACUAGAAGAAAUGGAUAAAUUUCUAGGAAAAUACAAUCUUCCAAGACUGAAUCAGGAAGAAACAGACAAUCUGAACAGACUGAACACUAGCGAUAAAAUUGAAUAUGUAAUAAAAUAAAAAAAAUCCCAGCAAACAAAAGUCCAGAAGCAGAUGGCUUCACAGGUCACUUCUAUAAAACAUUUUAAAAAGUAUUAAUAUUUAUCCUUUUCAAACUAUUCCAAACAAUUAAAGAAGAGGCAACACUCCUAGACUUAUUUUAUGAAGUUACCAUUACCUUAACAUCAAAACCGGAUAAAAUCACUACAAAAAAAGAAAAUUACAUGUAAAUUAUAUUGUUUAGUUUUCAAUUAUUUGAGGGUGUUUCAGACAGGUUUUUAUUUUUUUAUUUUUAGUUAAGUUCAAUUUGUUCAAAGAGUAUACUUUAUGUAAUUUGAUUCCUUUUAAUUUUAUUAUGAAUAUUGCCUAUCUUGUUGAAUGAUCAAUAUGGAUUUGAAUGUGGAUUCUGUUUUUGUGAGUGGAUUUUACUGUAAUUAUUAUUUAGGCAAAAUUAUCUAAUGACUUUGCUCAGGUAUUCUAUAGCCUUAUUUAGUUGUUCUAAUUAUUCCUAAGGGUGAAGUGUUGAAAUCUUCAACUCUAAUUGUGGAUUUGACUGUGUCCCUUUUUCAGUUAUAUCAGGUUUUUUUAAAUAUGUUUUGAAAUUGUUAUUAGGUUCUCUGAUUUUUCUCUUUUCUUUCAGAUUAAUUUACUAUUUUAUGAUUCCAUUCUAUAUUAUUUAUUGGAUUAUUACCUGUAAUUUGUGUUGUAUUUAGUAAUUAUUCUAGGACUACAGUAUUCAUUCUUAUUGUAGUAAGAAUUCAAAUAAUAUUAUACUACUUCACAUAGAGUAUAAACAUGUUUCAACAGAAUGCUUUCACAACUAGGGCACCUGCAGAUGCUGGUGGAGGACCCCAACAUCCAAGGAGAUGGGAAGAACCCCCAAGGGAACCGAAAGGAUGUGGGGGGACUGAGGGGAGGGGAGAAGUGGAGGCUGGACAGGACCAGUGCCCCUGAGGGGUGGCUGAGAGGAUGGAGGGUUUCCCACACCUGGAGGGACCCUCAAGGGCUUGAAUCAGGGGGAGCAGCCACAGCACUUCCCCUGCCUAACCGGUUGGGGAAGUCUUCCCAGCUCUCAGAGGUCCCUUCUGGGCUGGGUUUGUCCUGGGGGUGUAGAAGGGAGGCUGGGGAGAUCAGGAGAGGCAGGUGGGAGGGGCUCUCCAUUAUAGGAGGAGCAGGAGAGGAGCAGAGGGUGUUUGCCCUGCCCACUUGAGCCCAGGAAGCCUGGUGGGCUCCCAGGUGGGGUCCCCUACCAUCUGAGACCAGAGGUGGGAGAGAGAAGCAUGCUUGGGUCCCUUCUGUUUUGUUGAGCCUAAGCCCCACCUCCCACCCUCCCACCCCGCCUUUUCCUACCCUGUGGGUACUAAGAAUAGGCCCUGCCCAUCACCCAAACCUCAGCCCUUCUUAGGCCCCCACCCUCCACAACCAAGGCCUUUUCCACCUUUUUUUUCCUCCUCCUCUUUUUUACUAUUGUGGUUCUGUUUUACAUUCUGACUGUUUUUUCAUCUAUAUUUUUAUUUUUUUCUAAUAUAGCUGUUAGUUUCCUAGACUAAUUUUAUUUUUUACUUUGUUAUUGUUCUCCUUUAUUUAUCUGUUUAUUUUUUUGCCACCCUAUGCCACUUGCAGGAUCUUGGUUAAUGAGACAGGGGUCGGGCUGAAGCUCCUGUGGUGGGAGCUCCAAGUCAGAACCACUGGACUAACAGAGAACCUCAGACCCCAGGGAAUAUUCAUCAGAGUGAGGUCUCCCAGAAGUCUUCAUCUCAGCACCAAGACCCAGCUCUACCCAGCAGCCUACAAACUGCAGUGUUGGAGCCUCAGGCCAAACAACCAGUAAGACAGGAACACAAUCCCACUCAUUAAAAAAAGGAAAAAAAAAAAAAAGAGACAGAAAAAAUAUAUGUAACAGA